Molecule: ribosomal RNA, 253 nt
Filed under: uncultured bacterium
Lineage: Bacteria
Description: partial 16S ribosomal RNA
Rfam family: Bacterial small subunit ribosomal RNA
Source: RNAcentral
UACAGGGGGCUCGAGCGUUAGUCGGAAUCACUGGGCUUAAAGGGUGCGUAGGCGGCUCGCCAAGUGCUUUGUGAAAUCCCACAGCUCAACUGUGGAACAGCAGGGCAAACUGGCGGGCUUGAGGCAGGUAGGGGCCGGAAGAACAGUUGGUGGAGCGGUGAAAUGCGUAGAUAUCAACUGGAAUGCCGAUGGGGAAGCCGUCCGGCUGGGCCUGUCCUGACGCUGAGGCACGAAAGCCAGGGGAGCGAACGGG